Molecule: ribosomal RNA, 462 nt
Filed under: Gymnophora sp. DTZ-2010
Lineage: Eukaryota; Metazoa; Arthropoda; Insecta; Diptera; Phoridae
Description: partial 16S ribosomal RNA
Source: RNAcentral
GUCUAACCUGCCCACUGAAAUUUUAAAUGGCCGCAGUAUUUUAACUGUGCAAAGGUAGCAUAAUCAUUAGUCUUUUAAUUGAAGGCUGGAAUGAAUGGUUGAAUGAAAUAUUAACUGUUUCAUAAAAAUUUAAAAUAGAAUUUUAUUUUUUAGUUAAAAAGCUAAAAUGAAAUUAAAAGACGAGAAGACCCUAUAAAUCUUUAUAUUUUUAUAUUUUUAAUUAUAAAGAAAAAUUUAAUUAUGAUUAUUUAAAAUAUUUUAUUGGGGUGAUAUUAAAAUUUACAAAACUUUUAAUUAAUAAUUUACAUAAAUUAAUGAGUUAUUGAUCCAUAAAUUAUGAUUAAAAAAUUAAGUUACUUUAGGGAUAACAGCGUAAUUUUUUUAGAGAGUUCAUAUUGAUAAAAAAGAUUGCGACCUCGAUGUUGGAUUAAGAUAUAGAUUUAGGUGCAGAAGUUUAAAUCU